CACGUAGUUAGCCGGGGCUUCUUAGUCAGGUACCGUCAUUUUCUUCCCUGCUGAUAGAAGUUUACAUACCGAGAUACUUCUUCCUUCACGCGGCGUCGCUGCAUCAGGGUUUCCCCCAUUGUGCAAUAUCCCCCACUGCUGCCUCCCGUAGGAGUCUGGGCCGUGUCUCAGUCCCAAUGUGGCCGUUCACCCUCUCAGGCCGGCUACUGAUCGUCGGCUUGGUAGGCCGUUACCCCACCAACUACCUAAUCAGACGCGGGUCCAUCUCAUACCACCUCAGUUUUUCACACCAGACCAUGCGGUCCUGUGCGCUUAUGCGGCAUUAGCAGCCAUUUCUAACUGUUAUUCCCCUGUAUGAGGCAGGUUACCCACGCGUUACUCACCCGUCCGCCGCUCAGUCAAAUAUCAAAUCUUCCGAAGAGUCAAUGAUAAGUGCUUCGCUCGACUUGCAUGUGUUAAGCACGCCGCCAGCGUUCAUCCUGAGCCAGGAUA
Molecule: ribosomal RNA, 492 nt
Filed under: uncultured Blautia sp.
Lineage: Bacteria; Bacillati; Bacillota; Clostridia; Lachnospirales; Lachnospiraceae
Description: partial 16S ribosomal RNA
Source: RNAcentral